RNAcentral lists this ribosomal RNA (194 nucleotides) under uncultured eukaryote. Its description in RNAcentral is "partial 18S ribosomal RNA". It matches the Rfam family "Eukaryotic small subunit ribosomal RNA", at positions 1 to 193 of the family's 1831-position model. The record is from RNAcentral.
GAAACCUGGUUGAUCCUGCCAGUAGCAUACGCUUGUCUCAAAGAUUAAGCCAUGCAUGUCUAAGUAUAAACGACUUUAUACUGUGAAACUGCGAAUGGCUCAUUAUAUCAGUUAUAGUUCAUUUGAUGGUCCUUGCUACUUGGAUAACCGUAGUAAUUCUAGAGCUAAUACAUGCAUCAAGCCCCGACUGUUUG